AUCCGAAACGACGUCCGGGGCUCUGAUCCCCGCGGGACUCUUCCACGGGACAGAGAGGGAGAAGAGCGCCCAGGGACUGAGGGAACAACGGCAACAGAGCCUCUCGCCGGUUGGCUGAGGCCCAGACAUUCUGCGCACUGUGCCUGGACGCUGAGGAAAUGUCCAGGGAGACUUUUACUGAAGGACAACCCUGCAUAUGUGCUAUAAUGCCCACACUGAAGAAAUAAAGUAGGUGAAAAGGAGAGGGCUCGAGAGCCCUAGCUGUAUACCCAGAUUUUCCUCUCCAAGGUCAGUGGGCUUUAUGGAGAGCCCACUGUGGGCUGAAAGCACUGACCAAGCCACUGCUCUAGACACACGGGAGAGAAGUGAAAAUCGGAUCAUCGGACCGCUUUCGGUGGCUAAGAGAUUAAAACCUCGGAGGAUCUAACUAAUCCAUUUCUAAGUGCGCCGGGCAGAGAGAGACACCACAAAUUUGUCUGCUGAGCAAACAGGCCGCUUGCGUCAAGAAUUGGGAAGAGUAGCCCAUAGAAAUCAAUACUGAUGAAGCUUUGAAAAGGUUGACUGACUGAACUGGAUUAGCUAUUGAUUUUUGUCCUUUCCGGCAGCUACCGCUCGGCUCUCCACCUGCUGGGGCCAUUAAGCUGGGAGGCUUUAAACCUCUAAUCCCUCACUAAUAACAAACAAGACAAUGGCCCUGAAAGCUAAAGAUCUAACCGAAGGACCCAGAGUUUCAGAUCAGCAUUGAGCUCCUUGGAGAAUGGAAGAUGAUGGAGCCCACAGUGAGCAACUGUUAAAAAUAGCACCAACCUGAAAACUUGUGUAAGAUCAAGCUGAAAAUAACUAGUCCGUCCGCUGAAGGUUGUGGUCCCUUUCAUUCUUGGGAAUAGUCCCAGCAAGCUAGCCAAGCCCCAUCACCUGACUGGAGUCACUGCUAAGAGAAAUUCCUCUAACAGAGAUAACGCGACCUUACCUUCUUCUCUUAGCCACCAGCUACCUUCAGAUCACUCCAUCUUUGGGUUGGGCUGAACUGGUUCUGAUGUGUGGAGUCAACCUGGACGAGGAUUUUACACUUGUGAUUAGCCACAGACACCAACGAAGAAGGAUCUGUGGGCCAGAUCUGGUGGUAAGACCCACCUCGGAUAAAGCAAUGAGGCUACUGCCAACAGUCAGAUCCUAUUAAGGCAUUAAAAUAACAAUGAUCUCA
Molecule: long non-coding RNA, 1204 nt
Organism: Ornithorhynchus anatinus (platypus)
Lineage: Eukaryota; Metazoa; Chordata; Mammalia; Monotremata; Ornithorhynchidae
Exons: 3
Source: RefSeq, a predicted model, not a curated record